UACGGAGGGGGCUAGCGUUAUUCGGAAUUACUGGGCGUAAAGCGUUCGUAGGCGGCUUUGUAAGUCAGAGGUGAAAGCCCACGACUCAAUCGUGGGACUGCCUUUGAGACUGCUUCGCUUGAAGAUGGGAGAGGUUAGUGGAAUUCCGAGUGUAGAGGUGAAAUUCGUAGAUAUUCGGAAGAACACCAGUGGCGAAGGCGGCUAACUGGACCACAACUGACGCUGAGGUGCGAAAGCGUGGGGAGCAAACAGG
This 253-nucleotide ribosomal RNA is filed under the name uncultured bacterium. RNAcentral describes it as "partial 16S ribosomal RNA". It matches the Rfam family "Bacterial small subunit ribosomal RNA", at positions 524 to 776 of the family's 1533-position model. The record is from RNAcentral.